UACGUAGGGGGCAAGCGUUGUCCGGAUUUAUUGGGCGUAAAGAGCUCGUAGGCGGUUUGGUAAGUCAGGUGUGAAAUCUCCACGCUCAACGUGGAGGGGCCACCUGAUACUGCCAUGACUGGAGUCCGGUAGAGGAGUGUGGAAUUCCCGGUGUAGCGGUGAAAUGCGCAGAUAUCGGGAGGAACACCCGUAGCGAAGGCGGCACUCUGGGCCGAUACUGACGCUGAGGAGCGAAAGCCAGGGGAGCAAACGGG
RNAcentral lists this ribosomal RNA (254 nucleotides) under uncultured bacterium. RNAcentral's name for it is "partial 16S ribosomal RNA". It matches the Rfam family "Bacterial small subunit ribosomal RNA", at positions 524 to 776 of the family's 1533-position model. The record is from RNAcentral.